Non-coding RNA from Zea mays, 109 nucleotides. The record is from Rfam. Lineage: Eukaryota; Viridiplantae; Streptophyta; Magnoliopsida; Poales; Poaceae.
ACUCUAGUAUUGACCCCAAUCCACAUGUGUUGAGGUGGAUUGGGGUGUAACUCAAACUAAAUUACACCCCAAUCCACCUCAACACAUGUGGAUUGGGGUCAAUACUAGA